UUAAUUGAAGAGUUUGAUCAUGGCUCAGAUUGAACGCUGGCGGCAGGCCUAACACAUGCAAGUCGAGCGGCAGCACAGAGGAACUUGUUCCUUGGGUGGCGAGCGGCGGACGGGUGAGUAAUGCCUGGGAAAUUGCCCGGUAGAGGGGGAUAACCAUUGGAAACGAUGGCUAAUACCGCAUAACCUCGCAAGAGCAAAGCAGGGGACCUUCGGGCCUUGCGCUACCGGAUAUGCCCAGGUGGGAUUAGCUAGUUGGUGAGGUAAGGGCUCACCAAGGCGACGAUCCCUAGCUGGUCUGAGAGGAUGAUCAGCCACACUGGAACUGAGACACGGUCCAGACUCCUACGGGAGGCAGCAGUGGGGAAUAUUGCACAAUGGGCGCAAGCCUGAUGCAGCCAUGCCGCGUGUAUGAAGAAGGCCUUCGGGUUGUAAAGUACUUUCAGUAGGGAGGAAGGUGGUUAAGUUAAUACCUUAAUCAUUUGACGUUACCUA
Molecule: ribosomal RNA, 492 nt
Filed under: Vibrio cholerae
Lineage: Bacteria; Pseudomonadati; Pseudomonadota; Gammaproteobacteria; Vibrionales; Vibrionaceae
Description: bacterial SSU rRNA
Rfam family: Bacterial small subunit ribosomal RNA
Source: RNAcentral